Molecule: ribosomal RNA, 116 nt
Organism: Cavia aperea (Brazilian guinea pig)
Lineage: Eukaryota; Metazoa; Chordata; Mammalia; Rodentia; Caviidae
Source: Ensembl
GUCUACGGCCAUACCACCCUGAACGCGCCCAAUCUCGUCUGAUCUCGGAAGCUAAGCAGGGUCGGGCCUGGUUAGUACUUGGAUGGGAGGUUACUGAUUUAAGAUUGCUCUAUUCU